RNAcentral lists this ribosomal RNA (253 nucleotides) under uncultured bacterium. Its description in RNAcentral is "partial 16S ribosomal RNA". It matches the Rfam family "Bacterial small subunit ribosomal RNA", at positions 524 to 776 of the family's 1533-position model. The record is from RNAcentral.
GACAGAGGGUGCAAACGUUGCUCGGAAUCACUGGGCGUAAAGGGCGUGUAGGCGGGUAGAUAAGUCAGAUGUGAAAUCCCCAGGCUCAACCUGGGAACAGCAUUUGAAACUGUCUGUCUUGAGUGUCGGAGAGGAAAGCGGAAUUCCUGGUGUAGAGGUGAAAUUCGUAGAUAUCAGGAGGAACACCGGUGGCGAAGGCGGCUUUCUGGACGACAACUGACGCUGAGACGCGAAAGCUAGGGGAGCAAACGGG